RNAcentral lists this ribosomal RNA (400 nucleotides) under uncultured bacterium. RNAcentral describes it as "bacterial SSU rRNA". It matches the Rfam family "Bacterial small subunit ribosomal RNA", at positions 356 to 773 of the family's 1533-position model. The record is from RNAcentral.
GGGGAAUCUUAGACAAUGGGGGAAACCCUGAUCUAGCCAUGCCGCGUGAGCGAUGAAGGCCUUAGGGUUGUAAAGCUCUUUCAGCUGGGAAGAUAAUGACGGUACCAGCAGAAGAAGCCCCGGCUAACUCCGUGCCAGCAGCCGCGGUAAUACGGAGGGGGCUAGCGUUGUUCGGAAUUACUGGGCGUAAAGCGCGCGUAGGCGGACCAGAAAGUUGGAGGUGAAAUCCCAGGGCUCAACCUUGGAACUGCCUUCAAAACUCCUGGUCUGGAGUUCGAGAGAGGUGGGUGGAAUUCCGAGUGUAGAGGUGGAAUUCGUAGAUAUUCGGAGGAACACCAGUGGCGAAGGCGGCUCACUGGCUCGAUACUGACGCUGAGGUGCGAAAGCGUGGGGAGCAAAC